RNAcentral lists this ribosomal RNA (497 nucleotides) under uncultured bacterium. RNAcentral's name for it is "partial 16S ribosomal RNA". It matches the Rfam family "Bacterial small subunit ribosomal RNA", at positions 28 to 507 of the family's 1533-position model. The record is from RNAcentral.
GAUGAACGCUGGCGGCGUGCCUAAUACAUGCAAGUCGAGCGAACAGACGAGGAGCUUGCUCCUCUGACGUUAGCGGCGGACGGGUGAGUAACACGUGGAUAACCUACCUAUAAGACUGGGAUAACUUCGGGAAACCGGAGCUAAUACCGGAUAAUAUAUUGAACCGCAUGGUUCAAUAGUGAAAGACGGUUUUGCUGUCACUUAUAGAUGGAUCCGCGCCGCAUUAGCUAGUUGGUAAGGUAACGGCUUACCAAGGCAACGAUGCGUAGCCGACCUGAGAGGAUGAUCGGCCACACUGGAACUGAGACACGGUCCAGACUCCUACGGGAGGCAGCAGUAGGGAAUCUUCCGCAAAGGGCGAAAGCCUGACGGAGCAACGCCGCGUGAGUGAUGAAGGUCUUCGGAUCGUAAAACUCUGUUAUUAGGGAAGAACAAAUGUGUAAGUAACUAUGCACGUCUUGACGGUACCUAAUCAGAAAGCCACGGCUAACUACGUG